This 326-nucleotide ribosomal RNA is filed under the name Pseudo-nitzschia multiseries. Its description in RNAcentral is "LSU rRNA". It matches the Rfam family "Eukaryotic large subunit ribosomal RNA", at positions 207 to 540 of the family's 3401-position model. Lineage: Eukaryota; Bacillariophyta; Bacillariophyceae; Bacillariales; Bacillariaceae. The record is from RNAcentral.
AGAGGGUGACACUCCCGUCCGCCUGGCAGAGUGAGUCAUUUGUCAACGAGUCGAGUUGUUUGGGAUUGCAGCUCUAAUUUGGUGGCAAAUUCCAUCUAAAGCUAAAUAUUGGUGGGAGACCGAUAGCGCACGAGUACCGUGAGGGAAAGAUGCAGAGAACUUUGAAAAGAGAGUUAAAGAGUACCUGAAACUGCUGAAACGGAAGCGAAGGAAACCAGUGUUUGUUUGUUCAUAUUUCCCUAGCCACUUGUGGCUUGGGCGCUGUGGGCUUGCGUGAGUUUGGGUUGGUUGAUUCCUUUGGAAGAGCGCAGUCAGAGUUGAUGUCU